RNAcentral lists this ribosomal RNA (497 nucleotides) under uncultured bacterium. RNAcentral describes it as "partial 16S ribosomal RNA". It matches the Rfam family "Bacterial small subunit ribosomal RNA", at positions 28 to 507 of the family's 1533-position model. The record is from RNAcentral.
GAUGAACGCUGGCGGCGUGCCUAAUACAUGCAAGUCGAGCGAACAGACGAGGAGCUUGCUCCUCUGACGUUAGCGGCGGACGGGUGAGUAACACGUGGAUAACCUACCUAUAAGACUGGGAUAACUUCGGGAAACCGGAGCUAAUACCGGAUAAUAUAUUGAACCGCAUGGUUCAAUAGUGAAAGACGGUUUUGCUGUCACUUAUAGAUGGAUCCGCGCCGCAUUAGCUAGUUGGUAAGGUAACGGCUUACCAAGGCGACGAUGCGUAGCCGACCUGAGAGGGUGAUCGGCCACACUGGAACUGGGACACGGUCCAGACUCCUACGGGAGGCAGCAGUAGGGAAUCGUCCGCAAUGGGCGAAAGCCUUACGGAGCAACGCCGCGUGAGUGAUGAAGGUCUUCGGAUCGUAAAACUCUGUUAUUAGGGAAGAACAAAUGUGUAAGUAACUAUGCACGUCUUGACGGUACCUAAUCAGAAAGCCACGGCUAACUACGUG